RNAcentral lists this long non-coding RNA (204 nucleotides) under Mytilus galloprovincialis (Mediterranean mussel). Lineage: Eukaryota; Metazoa; Mollusca; Bivalvia; Mytilida; Mytilidae. The record is from RNAcentral.
AGAGAAAACAAUGUCAACCGCGAUGCAACCAAGGUUGACAAUGCUUUUUCGAGUGGUACGAAUCUGCUCUAUCACCAUCUCAGUUAUGUGUUAUUUAAAUUAUUAUACUAAAUGUCCUAUCAUUAUAGUCUUUUACAGAUUAAUUUUAUUUUAAAAGUAUGUUCUAUGACGUACAUACAUAACAACAUUAAUACGGGUAUUAGA